Molecule: ribosomal RNA, 469 nt
Filed under: uncultured bacterium
Lineage: Bacteria
Description: partial 16S ribosomal RNA
Rfam family: Bacterial small subunit ribosomal RNA
Source: RNAcentral
GAUGAACGCUGGCGGCGUGCUUAACACAUGCAAGUCGAACGGUGAAGCUCCAGCUUGCUGGAGUGGAUCAGUGGCGAACGGGUGAGUAACACGUGAGCAACCUGCCCCUGACUCUGGGAUAACAGCCGGAAACGGCUGCUAAUACCGGAUAUGCACCAUCAACGCAUGUUCUGUGGUGGGAAAGAUUUUUCGGUUGGGGAUGGGCUCGCGGCCUAUCAGCUUGUUGGUGAGGUAAUGGCUCACCAAGGCGUCGACGGGUAGCCGGCCUGAGAGGGUGACCGGCCACACUGGGACUGAGACACGGCCCAGACUCCUACGGGAGGCAGCAGUGGGGAAUAUUGCACAAUGGGCGAAAGCCUGAUGCAGCAACGCCGCGUGAGGGAUGACGGCCUUCGGGUUGUAAACCUCUUUUAGCAGGGAAGAAGCGAGAGUGACGGUACCUGCAGAAAAAGCGCCGGCUAACUACGUG